CCCUCUUGCCAUAUUCCAAUAACACAGUCUCAUUUAAUUUUUCUCCCUU
This 49-nucleotide non-coding RNA is filed under the name Plasmodium falciparum 3D7. Lineage: Eukaryota; Apicomplexa; Aconoidasida; Haemosporida; Plasmodiidae. The record is from RNAcentral.